AAUCUUAAAUGCCCAAGUAGUGUUUCCUUGUUAGAAGAUACAAAGUCAAAGACUCAUACGGACUUUGGCUACACCAUCAAAGCUUUGAGAAGCAAGAAGAAGUUUGGUUAAUGUUUUGGAGUCAACUAUGACUUCAGGUCAUUUGUAUGAUUAAGUAUAAGAACUAGAACUACAAACGAAUCUUAAAAGGCUAAGUAGUGUUUCCUUGUUAGAGGAUACAAAGCAAAAGAUUCAUAUAAAAUUCGGCUACACCAUCAACGCUUUGACAAGCAAGAAGAAGCUUGGUUAGUGUUUUGGAGUCAAAUAUGAGUAGAUGUCAUUUGUAUGAUUGAGUAUAAGAACUAGAACUGCAACCGGGUCUUAAAAGCCUAAGUAGUGUGAUAUGUCUAUAAUUUGCAUGAUUUCAGUGUCCAUUCAUCAUCGUUUUGAGUCCAGUUUCGUAUCAUUCAUCACAGUUUAUAUCAUUUCUCAUCAUUCUUGCAUACUUUGCAUGAUUAGGAUAACUUUGCAUACAUAUUGCAUUUCUGAGUUGUUUUCAGGUGAUUUGGAGCUGUUUGCAAGCAAAUUGGAAGAAACGAGCCAGAACCAGAAGACAUACUCGACCCCCAGGUCGAGUGACUUUAGAGCCAUUCUUCCCACAUACUCGACCCCCAGGUCGAGUGACUUUGGAGCCAUUCUUCCCAUCCACUCGACCACCAGGUUGAGUAACCUCAGCUCAGGCCACUCGAUGACACUACUCGACCCCCUGGUCGAGUAUCACUUCGCCACACUACCUGACAACACUCGACCGUUCACUCUACCAAGUUACUCGACCCCCUGGUCGAGUAUCAUCACUCACCACCAUCAGCAUCACUCGACCGGACACUCGAUCACGUCUUCACAGUCUACUCAAAUCCGCACUCAACCAGACAAGCUGAGCACAAGGAAGAGAAGAGGAGAAGACAAAGUGUUUGGAAGCGGCCUGGACCUCCAUCGGAUCAAGAAGCCCAUCUCGGCCCAUUAUCUCUCUAUGGGCCGAGCGAUUAGGUUAUUGGCCCGUCUAUUAUCAUUUUAUUUCGUUUUGUAUAAAUAGAUGUCUUAGGGUUCUGUCCUGAGACAUCUAGUCGACAUUGAGUUUUUGCUUCAGUUUUAUUUUCUGUUUUACUCUACUGCGCCGGUUUUGCUUCGGCAACCUGUAAUUCGAGAUUUUUCAAAGUUAUUCAGAUUCCGCAUUUGAUUUCAUCUGUCAUCUUGUUUCUCUACUCUUUAUCUCUUUACUUAUGCAAUAUUAUCGUUUAUUUGCAUUUAUGUCUUUUAGCAUGUUGUCUGAGUAGUGACUUAGAAUUCUUAGGGAUAGGAUAGAGUAGUUGUGGAAUCCGUAGUCUGUAGAAUGGUUAAGUUUUAGAAUUGAUUGAAUCCCUUUAGGACUAGUUGCGUUUACUGCUUAUUUCUUUCUGAUCAAUUGGAAUUCGAUCCCAAGCAUUCCCGCACCCAGAAGGUGUUUGAUGGAAUGCUUGAUCCACUAGUUCCUGAGAUAUGCGUCUCUAUCCCAAGGGAUUGGCCGUUUAGAGCGUUUAUUGACUUUAUCAGUCUGUUCUUAUUGCCUGCAUAGUUAGAUUCCGUUAAUGGGAAUUAGUCUGGGCUAGCUUUGCUUGAGGAUUUCUAUCACGGGAGUGAAUUGAUCUGUUGUUGAACCUGUUGUCUAGGGAUAGCUUGAUUGCGCUUGUUAACCAUUCGAAUAGGCUAGGAUACCACUCUACUCGAUUACCCUAUCCUUAGGCAUUUCUCGUCUAUCUUAUUUCUCUGUUUUAUCGUUAUCGCUUAAUCGUUCUCAUUGCCUGUUUCUUAGUUUUUACAAUCACUCGACCAUCUUACUCGACCACACCCAGUGUCUGGCAACAGACUGUGCAGUCGAGUAAGAUUAUCUUGUUUCCUGUCUAUUACUCGACCAGUAUACUCGACCACACCCAGUGUCUGGCAACACACUGUAUAGUCGAGUAUAGCUGUUUCAUAUCCUGUCUGUUACUCGACCUGUUACUCGAGAGAUUUUAGUAAUUCUGUUAUUGCUUCUAAUUUCUGCAUGUUCGCUUAGGACUGUUAGAAACCCCAAAACUGUUAUUACUUGGCUUGACUUAGUGACUUCUGAUCACAUUUCAUCUAUUUGCAUCACACCCAUUUGGAUUGACACCUAAAAUACUACAACGACAUGAUUGGUGUUUUAUGAUAAUUGACCAUAAUAACCUAUUAUCAAUUUGGCGCCGUUGCCAAUUGGGUGUUUGUUUGCUAUAUUUGAGAUUUCAGAAUAUUUAAGAUCAAGUUCUUUUU
Molecule: small RNA, 2304 nt
Filed under: Arabidopsis thaliana (thale cress)
Lineage: Eukaryota; Viridiplantae; Streptophyta; Magnoliopsida; Brassicales; Brassicaceae
Description: ATSL198610
Source: RNAcentral